CCGCGGUGAAUACGUUCUCGGGCCUUGUACACACCGCCCGUCACACCAUGGGAGUCGGUAACACCCGAAGUCUGUAGCCUGACGCAAGAGGGCGCAGCCGAAGGUGGGAUUGAUGACUGGGGUGAAGUCGUAACAAGGUACC
RNAcentral lists this ribosomal RNA (142 nucleotides) under uncultured bacterium. RNAcentral's name for it is "partial 16S ribosomal RNA". It matches the Rfam family "Bacterial small subunit ribosomal RNA", at positions 1357 to 1500 of the family's 1533-position model. The record is from RNAcentral.